RNAcentral lists this ribosomal RNA (306 nucleotides) under uncultured Polynucleobacter sp. Its description in RNAcentral is "bacterial SSU rRNA". It matches the Rfam family "Bacterial small subunit ribosomal RNA", at positions 30 to 334 of the family's 1533-position model. Lineage: Bacteria; Pseudomonadati; Pseudomonadota; Betaproteobacteria; Burkholderiales; Burkholderiaceae. The record is from RNAcentral.
AUUGAACGCUAGCGGCAUGCCUUACACAUGCAAGUCGAACGGCGGCACGGGUGCUUGCACCUGGUGGCGAGUGGCGAACGGGUGAGUAAUACAUCGGAACGUACCUUAUCGUGGGGGAUAACGCAGCGAAAGCUGUGCUAAUACCGCAUACGCCCUGAGGGGGAAAGCGGGGGAUCGAAAGACCUCGCGCGAUUAGAGCGGCCGAUGCCUGAUUAGCUUGUUGGUGGAGUAAAAGCCCACCAAGGCGACGAUCAGUAGCUGGUCUGAGAGGACGAUCAGCCACACUGGGACUGAGACACGGCCCAG